AGCAAGGAGGCAAGUGGCUCAUCUGUCAGUUCUAACCAUGAGGAACUGGUGUGCGCCUACCACGCCCACAGCCACACCAAUGGAGGGCCAACGACACUCAAGUCUGGCCAGUGUGUGGUGACAAGUAGUGAGGUCACCACUGAAUCUGACACACCUGCUGAGCCUGACCUGGUGUCUUUCUGUGCUGCCCUGGGCAACAACUGAGCCCUGUGAGUCCCUGCCCUCUUCAAGCCAGACGGGGACUACCAGACUGUGGCUGACAUGGUGGGUGGCGGUCGCUCCAGGACAGAGUCAACCACCAGUCACGAGGAAAGUUUGGACGAGGCCAGAAGUGCGUCAUCCCACCACAGGUCACGGGGACAGGAACUGUUGGCCAGGCAGGGUCACCGUCCCUCCCACGGCGACCCGGAUUAUAGCUACGCUCACCCUGUGAAGAAGCAGUGCCUUCCCCCACCCCUCCACUGUCCUCCACUGACAGCAACAGGUGUAUGAGUUAGUGAUAGUGAGGUCACUGACAGACAGACUCGCCAAAUUGUUCAUUAGUAAAAGUUCCGUGGCCACUAAGUUUGUAAUUUGCCUCUGUGUCUAUUUUUCCAGCCUUUUUAUUCAUUGAUGUACACUUUUGCCUUUCACUGCUUCCUCCUUUAAUCCAUUCUAUAUCUUUAUAUAUUUACAUGGAAAGAUAUGUUUGCAUUAUUUGAACAUUCUCUCUCUCUCUCUCUCUCUCUCUCUCUCUCUCUCUCUCUCUCUCUCUCUCUCUCUCUCUCUAAUAUUGAGGUUCAUCUCUUGUCCAUAACAAAAGGGCAUUUCUGUCUGGUUCCUCAGGUUGGUUGACUAACCCUAAAGCUGCAGGGGUUUUCACACAUUUCUCCAUUUCAUAUGUCACUACUCCUAUGUGGAAAGAUGUGUGUUAUUUAGGAAGCUCUCUUCUAUCCGAGUUUCUUUUAAUCUUUAUCAUCAUGUGUCAAGUC
This is a long non-coding RNA of Scylla paramamosain (green mud crab), 971 nucleotides long. RefSeq lists it as uncharacterized. The transcript is spliced from 3 exons. The record is from RefSeq and is a predicted model, not a curated record. Lineage: Eukaryota; Metazoa; Arthropoda; Malacostraca; Decapoda; Portunidae.